GUGCGGUGGGGCUGAUACCUGCCCGUGGCAAGCCGAGGGGUCUCGAUCUAGAUCUGAAGGACUGAGGGGCUAAAACUUGCCUGUGAUGGGCUGUGGGAUGGGGAGCCCCCCACUCGUGGCGGACUGUAGGGUUCGGGCCUGUGCGCCCGAUCUGGGGUCCAAGCCCUGUUGGUGGCAGGCUGUGGGGCUGGACUGGGGACGGGCUCUGGGGCCGAGUCCAGGCUGCCCUGGGCAGCUCCAGGGAGGUGCUGUGGGGGCCGGCGGUAGUGGUGAGUGUGUGGAUGGCUUUAAACACCCCCCCCCCCCCCGCCCCCCACAGUUCAGGGACUGAUGGCUUUUAAUAAUACCAGGGUAUCACGGCCGACACAAACUCAGGGCACCUGCCUGGGCAGAUACAGGUGUCCUCACCUGGCUGUCCCUUCCUCCAGGGCUGCUCGGCUCCCAGGACGGCAGAGCUGGAAGUGACUGGCCGAGCCCAGGAUGCUGCACUGGGGCCGUGACUUGGAGUGCUCUGUGCUCCAGGGCUGCUGCUCCUCUGUAUGGGGUUCCAAACCUUCAACCCUUCUUACUCCAGAACUUCGAAAGUGCGCCUCCCACCUCCCUCAAAUGCCUUUCAGCUCUCCCUGCUGCAGCAGGACCUGCUCCAUCUCUCCUGUCCAGAAAUAAACCCUGUGACAAAGUCUGGCGUAGCCCCAGAGCUGAUCCCCACCUCCCUUGUCCCAGCCUUCGUGCCCUCCAUCAGAAAACUGGGGAAUAAAAUGCUCAGCUGUCAGCUCCUGAAUGGACUGUCAGAAACCAAGGCAAGGAGCAGCCCCUCCUUCAGCUCUGUGUGCAGGUGCCCACACAGCCACGUUAUAACCUCAGCUGCAGAUUAGAAGUGCUUUGUUUGUGAUUCCUGGGUGCUCUGCACUUUGAUGCAUCGUCUCCCGACAGACGCAGGGCAAGCUCCGCUCCUCCCGCCUGGCCUAGGCUGCAAUGAUGGAUUAAGUGGGGCAGAGUAGCAGGAGUCCUGGUGGAGGCAGUCCCUCUGACAUGAAUCCAUGGAUGAUUUCACUUGUAUGUACAGGAGAUGGCCAUUGGCGUGGAUUCUCCACCCAGGACCUCUGAACUGAGCAAUGACAAGCUGCCCUAUUCUGCCCCUUGAAGAACAGACACUUGGUAGCAGCAAGUGCUGGUUCAUCUGGAAAUAGAGUGAGAAGUGGUCAGAAGGGAGGAGACCACCUACCCAUCCACAAAACAGUGAGCUGCUGCUGGUGGCAACAAGGUGGGGACAUGCCUUGGUGGCCAAAUAGGUUUACUUCUCACAGAUGGGUAUAGAAAUGGUACCUGAAUCCCUUAGGACAGUCCAGGGCCCGGAAAGUCCUUUCUGAUCUUUUCGUCUGGGUUUUUCUCCUCUUUCAAAUGAGGUGUUUUCCUCCUGAUGCUUUGAGCUCCCCCUGAUUUGGAUCAUUGUCUUGCCAAGUUCGGUUAGCAUGGCUCGGUCUCUGUCUGGAACUUACCACAAGGGUUGCCUGUAUUAAAGACAGGCUGAAGUUUGGAGUGUCAGCAGAGGCCAAGGAAUGAACCAGGACUCCACUGGCCUCCCUCACCCCUCCAUUGGAUGAGUUUUCCUCUGGAGUUUGGGGAAGUAGGUUAGGGAAGGGGUUGGAGAGGUCUGGGCUGCUGUAGCCUCCUCUUUGCACAGGGAGCUCCUCUGUGUCCCCUGGACAGCUCCAUGCGGGUCGGUCAGCUUGGGAGUGAUGGCAGAGCUCGGGCCUGGAGGACGAGUGGUUCUUGUGUGCUCCCGAAACUCUGAGAAAGAGAAAAGACAAUGUCAUCAAAAAGACACAUCAUCAGAUCAGCAGGAUGGCGUGGUAGGCCUGUUCCCAGUCUUCUGCUCUUCCCAUGAAAUACUCAUGCUCAUGGACCCUCCCUGCCCAACCUCUCCCUGCAGUUACCCGGCUGGGAGCAACACGGGAGACGUGGCAGCAGCCCCAGCAACUGCCACAGAUAAAGAAAUUUGGGGAUAUUCUGAAAAACAAGAGGAUGGGGAGGCCGUGGGAGCAAUGUGUUGAUGCCAGCUUCCUUUGGGACCCCUGGAACCCAAUGUGUCCUGUCUCUAGGCUGUUCUGUGUCCUCAUGUUAUUGCAACACGUGCUUGUGUCUGAUGGAUGCAGGGGGCAGAGGGGGGAAUCCUCUGUUGCCUCUUUUUAGAGUUAAAACACAAGAUGAUCCUGGUAAGUCUUUGUCCUGCCAGGACUGACCCGGGGGUCACUUUCCCUGUGGCUUCCACCAGCUCAAGCCAGUGUCACUGUCACUCAGUUGUGUGAAUGGCUGGGGAGGAAAAUUCCCUUCCCUGGGUAUAAUCUGGGAUCUGUCCUGUGGCAGCUGAAUGUCAGCCUGGCAUUCCCUGCUCCGUGCCUGGGGACAAGGCAGGUCAUGACUUACACAUUUCAUCAUUACAAAGAGAACUUCCUCUAGAUGUGGGCAAUAAGACAGUGGCACUGACCUGUGAUCCUGGCACUGAGCAGCGUUAAUGACUCCCCUUUGCAGGUAAUAAGCAGCAAAUGUACACAUUUUGGGGGCAUCUGAAUGUUUUUUUCUCCUUUUAAGACUACUGUCUUCCUAGGCCAGACUUAAUUAGCAGACCUCAUUAUUUCCUGAAAUGUAACUUGACUUCUAUUGAGUGGGAAUUGUUCAGUGGAUGGGAAGCAGCAGAGCAGUGCUGCAAUAUUCAUAUUGUUUUAAUUGCAACAUUAACAUUUCAUGCCGCUCUUGGCACACUUUCAGGUGCGGCCCCUUAGCUCAAUGCAACACUGUGAGAGGUUGGAUCGGAACAAUUAGGACAGAGUGACUGGAUUUCUGGAUUUUCUUUUUUUCUUUUCUUCUUCUACUCUAAUGAACACAAGCUUGAAUUCAGCCCCCAUCCCUCCUUUUGUUGGGCAGAACAGGGAGUCACCACCCCUGGAGUGUAAAUCCCUCUUUUUUUUUUUUUGAAUAAAGGAUGUGCUGUAGCACAUGUUUAAAUUGUCUUUUUGCAGAGCUGAAGCCCCACAGGUACAAGUGAUACAUGAUCCACUAGGCUGAAGGCAUCUCCUGGGACUUGACCUUUACCAGGUGAAUCAGAGAAGUCCCAAAACGUGUCUGGCCAGCUGGGAUAGUGUCACAAAUGAGCUGGAGGGGAAAAAGGUUAUUUGUCACUUCUCAGCUUCCUCCAGGGCUCUGGAAUGCCCGAGGCUGGAAAUGACACUGCGAACAGAUAACGCCUGGGUUUUCAGUGCAGAUCCUAAACGAGCACAGGAAUCACCCUGCUCUAUCCCCAAAUGGCAUAUAGGGUUUGGCUUUCUCACAGAGGGGGCAGGCAACCCUGAAAUGCCGGGCUCAGCCUUAGCAAGGUUGCAUCACACUGGGUGAUGUGAGAACUUUAAUUGGCUCUAAAGGGAGAACAAGGAGGCUGGUGAGUCCCCUUCAGCCUUCAGAAGGAAGAAGAAGGGUUUCUGAGGAUUCCUCUUUCCUGCUGGGGGAAGGACACCAAUGCUGGUGCCUGCCAGCCCCGUGCUGGGGCUGGUGUGUGGGUCUGGUGGGCAGCAAGGCCCUGCGUGUGGGGGAACGGGCUCCCAUCAGUCAACGCUCUGAUGGGCAGCUUGAUGUGUCAGUGAUCCUGCUGAGAGCUCACUGGGCACUGCUUGGACUCUGGGCUGCCUUCCUGGCAUUUCCUGGCAGCAGUCUGUGGAUGAAACGUCUUUCUGGAAGGUGAAACCUCUGUCCAUGCAGUGGAAAGGCAAUGGGAGGAGUUGUGGGGGCGAGGGAGCUCCUCUGCCUGUCAGUUCUUCCCCUUGGAGCUGGGCAUGUCACUUCCACUUUAGGCAGCAGCUGAACUCAUCCAUAAGUCUGGGAGGGCAAUUAAGGCUGGAAAUGCAGGAGGACCUCAGCUUGGUCUCUCAAAGAAGGACAAGGGAAGGGCACACAUUCCAUUUCCAUGGGCUUUCCAAAGGCUAACGUGCCAUCUUAGCUGGCUGGCUCUCCUAUCAGCCAAACAGGCCUGAAACCUUCUCCUGUUGGUCCUGUGUGCAGUGGGAUCCAUGAAAUCCCAUCUUCUCUCGAUGUACGGUUUGGGUUUGGAGUCUCUGGUGUCCAGUAAGUUUUUUGUGCUGAACGGAGCAUCUCCCUUUCCUGGGAUAUUUAUGGCAUCUCUCCCACACAAAUUGUCUGAUGUCUAAUAAGGGAUGAUACACUACAGUUUGGAAGGUGCUAAUAAUGUCUCCUCUGUUUGGUGGUCUGUUCCCAUGAAAUUUAUAGACUCUGGCUGUCUCCAAGACCUCUGUUGCUCUGUCACAUCAGCUUGAAAUCUGUUUGCAGUGUCAGAAGUUGCUGGGGAGUGGGCAGAGGACAGACUGAUGCAGCAGGAUUGCAUAUGCUUUGCACUCCUUGGGAAAUCAGGCUGAAAAUGCACAGAUCUGGGAACGGGGGCAGCUGUGGCUCGGGUCACGGAGUUGAGUGUUUGGGAAAGCCAAUCUGGCUGUGUGGGAGGAAGGGGAUGAGCCCCGAGCGCUCUGCCCCAGCCCCUGCUGCCGCUCCUCAGGCACGUUUGAGCUGCCUGGGGCGAGCAGCGAGUGCCGAGCGUGGCCUCUUGUGGGAAACAGCCCCCGCGGACGAUAAACGAGCCAGCCCAGAGCUCCUGGCUGGUGUGAAGAAUUGCCUGGCUAAAGGAUAAUGAAUGCCACAGCAGGAGACAGAGCGUUUCUCUGAGGCCAUUCAUCCCCUUUAUCACCCUGCUAACAAGCCCCAGAGCGACUUUAGAGAGACUUCUCCGGAGCAGCACCAUCCCUCAGCCGCGCUGCUGGCUGGGUGCUGGGGGUCAGGGGUACAGCACAGUGCGGCAGGAAGCCACGGACCAUCUCCCAGAUAACAGCCCCGGGUUUGGGUCUCUGCUCUGGGACUGUGCCUUGGCUUUGCUUUGGCUGGCGUGAAGACCGUGCCCUCCUUCAGGCCGUGCAUGGUGCCACCUGAGAGAUCCAGAUGUAAAAGCCAAGCAUCCAUCUUUUCUAAAGUACUUCUGGGCAGCACCUGCAGCACCCUUAGGAGGAUUGCUCUAUCCCAACUCCCAGCUUGCUUAAGAUUUAAGAUCUGUAAGAUUUAUACAAGACCCAAGAGGAGUUUGGGGCCGCCAGCACGUAGGUGAGUUGGUUCUGCUUCACUAGCAGCACAGCUGAGCCUGUGCGUGAGCCUUGUGUGAGGAGGAAAGGGCAGGAGUGAUGUGCUCUUCAUAAGAGCUAAUAAAAGCUAAUCCAUCCCUUUGCUCCAAGACAGUAAGGAAGCAUUAGUGGCUGGCUGAGUGCCUCCUCCACUGCGGCAGCGUGCUGGGUGCCUCUGCCUUCCCUGUGGCUGGGAGCAGAGCGUGUCCUCCCGUGGGGGGAAGGCAUCUCUGGCAGAGCUGUGCCACCUGCAACUGCUCUCUGGAGCUGGCAUGCCUCCUGGGAAGGAGAAACUGCCAGAGAACCCUCACAGGUGAGCCUGGAAAUGAGGAUGGACAUCCCUUGGGCAGUCUGUCAUGGCAGGCCUCAGCUCCAAGCAAGCACCUUGCCUCUGCUCCAGGACUUGGGCCAUGGCUUGUGGGAGCGGAGGAGAGCAUCAGCUCUGAUUUGACUGGUGUGUAUGAGACCCUCGGAAAGGCUGGAGCUGGCUGAGCCCCAGUAGGUGCCCAAGUAGGUUGGAAUCCCUUCACCAAACAGCCUGUGUGCUCACCUGUGCACUGUGUGUGCAGGUACAAGCUGUGCCACCCUGCCAGAGCAAUUUGUGUCUGGGGCACAGUGCACAGUGGGUGAUCAAGUAGAACUAAUUGCCAGUAAUUGGAAGUUUUUUCUUUUUCAUCCUGUGUGUUUUCUUAAUUUCUCCUUCUUCUCCUCUUCCAGGUUUUGCUGUUGGGGGAUGUAUUUGGUGUGGUCCAUGGUCAACACCCCACAACCAGUGCCACUGGGAGAAGGGAAAGCAAACAGGAGAGUUUAUGCUGUGUUAGGGUGUCCUCAACAAAUGCUGAUAGUGGUUUUUUAGGGGCAAAAAAGAGCAGAAAAGCUGCAAAGCUUUGCAGGUGGAGGGCCUAGAUAGACAUGCCAUGAUAGACAAUUGGGUGGUUCCAACGAGGGGAGAAACAGCAGGAGAGCAGCAGGUGGUGGGGGCGGUCUGGAGUGUGUUUGCAGAGCUGUGGAGCAGAGGAGAAAGUGUGUCAUGGAGCCAGGUGUCUCCUUGAGUGCGAGCAGCACAACAGCAAAAGGAUUGCAACCCUAAUUUUUUCUCUCAAUUUUUUUUUUUUUUUUUAAUCAGGAGGUCUCCAAGCAUUUUAAAAGGAAGCUAACAUUGCAGAUUGAAGGACUUCACAUCUUGAGGCUUCAGUGACUAAGUUUGGAGCCAGCCAAAGG
Long non-coding RNA from Corvus hawaiiensis (hawaiian crow), 6395 nucleotides. RefSeq lists it as uncharacterized. The transcript has 7 exons. NCBI's taxonomy places the organism in Eukaryota, Metazoa, Chordata, Aves, Passeriformes, Corvidae. The record is from RefSeq and is a predicted model, not a curated record.